RNAcentral lists this ribosomal RNA (499 nucleotides) under uncultured bacterium. RNAcentral's name for it is "partial 16S ribosomal RNA". It matches the Rfam family "Bacterial small subunit ribosomal RNA", at positions 28 to 507 of the family's 1533-position model. The record is from RNAcentral.
GACGAACGCUGGCGGCGUGCUUAACACAUGCAAGUCGAACGGGCCCGCCCCUGUUUUUGGGGGUGGGUUGAGUGGCGAACGGGUGAGUAUCACGUGAGUAACCUGCCCCCUGCUCCUGGAUAACUGCUUGAAAGGGCGGCUAAUACGGGGUGUGCCGGCUGGUCCGCAUGGGCCUGGUCGGGAUAGUUUCAUCUUCGGGUGUUUCGGUGGGGGAUGCGCUCGCGGCCUAUCAGCUUGUUGGUGGGGUGAUGGCCCACCAAGGCGGUGACGGGUAGCCGGCCUGAGAGGGUGGGCGGCCACACUGGGACUGAGACACGGCCCAGACUCCUGCGGGAGGCAGCAGUGGGGGGUAUUGCACAAUGGGCGGAAGCCUGAUGCAGCGACGUCGCGUGAGGGAUGGAGGCCGUCGGGUUGUGAACCUCUUUCUCCGGUGGUGAAGGCCCUGUCCGUUGCGGCGGGGUUGACGGUAGCCGGGUAUGAAGCGCCGGCUAACUACGUG